Molecule: ribosomal RNA, 391 nt
Filed under: uncultured Sphingobacteriales bacterium
Lineage: Bacteria; Pseudomonadati; Bacteroidota; Sphingobacteriia; Sphingobacteriales
Description: bacterial SSU rRNA
Rfam family: Bacterial small subunit ribosomal RNA
Source: RNAcentral
AUUGUAUCGAAGCAUCCAGAGAUGGAUGUGUCUCUUCGGAGACGGUAUGACAGGUGCUGCAUGGCUGUCGUCAGCUCGUGCCGUGAGGUGUGGUUAAGUCCGCAACGAGCGCAACCCUAUCUUUAGUUGCCAUCAGUUCGGCUGGGCACUCUAUGGAGACUGCCACCUAAAGUGGAGGAAGGUGGGGAUGACGUCAAGUCAGCAUGGCCCUUACGUCCGGGGCUACACACGUGCUACAAUGGCCGAUACAGAGGGCAGCUACCUGGUGACAGGAUGCAAAUCUCCAAAGUCGGUCUCAGUUCGGAUCGGAGUCUGCAACCCGACUCCGUGAAGUUGGAUUCGCUAGUAAUCGCGCAUCAGCCAUGGCGCGGUGAAUACGUUCCCGGGCCUU